CUUUUUUUCCUUGUGAUUUGAACACACAUGAUGUUGUAAUUAUGUCUUCCCAACUCAUCAAUACAACUGAAACAGAAAAUAUGGGUGUGGUAUAUAUCAAAAAGCCCUCCCCUUUUUAAAAUAGCCAAUGGGCUUUAGUUUACAUCACAGGACUCAAACAUGAUUUGCUAGGCAGUUUUAGUGCAUAUAAUAUAAAAUAAAGUGGGGGGAAAAGGUAAAUAAAUAUACUACAUCAGUUAUUCUCAAGUUCACAGGGUGCUCUGGCAAAAUAAUCAUAGGUGCAAAAACCCCAAAAUAUUCUGAACACGAGAAUGGAUCAGGAUUGAAGACAAGUCACUGGAUUUUGUUUCUGAGGUAGUGAAUGUACGAUGAAACCAUCACACAGGCCAGUUUGGAUGAGGUUUAUUCUUUCUUACGCAACAAGUUUGUCUUCACUUUACACAAUGGGCUGGAUGAGGAGCUCUGCUGCUUCAGUGGCAUCAUGACCCUGCUUCAGGUCCAGAAUGACUACUUGUCCAUGCACUGCAGACUUGGCCAUGGGACUGAGACCAUCCAGGAGCCGAGGAAUCUUCUAAUAAAGAAAUUGUAAAGCCCUGCAACAGAUGGUAAGACUAUUUUUCUUAGAAAUUAAUACUUUAAACCCAUCUUUCUAAUAGAGGGCACACUACCACUUUUACACACCUCUGUAAGUAUCAUUCUCUGUCCUCUUCCAUAUGUAACUUAACAACAUCUAUUUUCUGAAAGUACCCAUCUGUGUGACACUGAAUGGUUGUGGAGUCUGACAGAAGAAAGCAAUCAGAGUCUCCAAAGCAGAUUCACCCUCAUUGGCCUCAACAGUACAUUACGGGUCACACGCCUAAUUUCUUAGGUCAUCUCACCACUUGCUCCUAUUACUUAGAGGCAGUUGUAAUCACUGGACCUUGCAACACUCAAUUAGGGCUUAAUUGGAUUGGUGUGUGUUCCUGGUGAAACUGUCAGUCCCCUGUUCAAUUGAGAAGACAGAGCUGAUUAUUACUGUUGACAAGUGUAACACACAGAGCUGGACGCAGCUGCUGCUU
Cyprinus carpio (common carp) is the source of this 1058-nucleotide long non-coding RNA. NCBI's taxonomy places the organism in Eukaryota, Metazoa, Chordata, Actinopteri, Cypriniformes, Cyprinidae. The record is from Ensembl.